CUUCUUCGUUAUUCUGCAACUUUUUUUUUGGGUUCUUUCUCUUUUAUCUUUGAUUCUUUAAAUCGCCGGCAAAGGACAAGAUUAAUCACAGCUAAUUUCCUUCUUUGGGUAAUAAGAACCCUAAUCGUCGCCGCUACUCUGUUUUGUUGAACUUGAAAACUCCUCUGUCGAUUUCACCAAAAACCAAUGAUUCAUAGAAAACCGAGACCGAGUUUGUUGUUCGUCUGAUUCGAUCUUGCUCCUCAAUUGCUUCGGUGCUCCUCAAACCAAUCGGUGGCUUCAAUUUUCAGUGGCUUCAAUUUUCAUUUUUAUGGUAUAGCGUCUUCGAGUACAGUCUCCAAAUAUCCUCCACGCCUCUAUGAAGAAGGAAGAUCUCCCUUGCAAAACAGGAGCAUGAACCACAAUUGCUUUUUGUCAAAGAUUGGAUAAUGAAAGAGGGUUUAGGCUUGGAUGUGUGGGAUAAAUUGAAGGAAUCAUCUCUUGGAGUAUUUAUUAAGUUAGCUGAAGUGGGAUACACAUGGUCUGCCGCAAAAGUUCAUUAUAUCCUUACACAUCAGCUAGCAGUCAACAAUUCUCAUGAGGUAUGGCCGUUGUUCGAUGGUAGACCUAUCAGAUUUUCCUUAAAUGAGUUUGCUGAAAUAACAGGAUUAAACUGUGAUCCAAUUGAGCCGUCGGAGAACGUAGAUGUUGAUCAUCAUGAAUUUUGGAGGGAAAUGGAGAUUGCAACAACUUCAGAUGGUCCAAAGUAUACUGAGUUGGAGAAGGUUAUGGAUUUUAGCACGACAUGGUCUGAACCGAAAAGGAUGAUGGUUGGUAGGCUGAUGUUAUUAUCCGUUACAGUACAUGGCAUACAUCAUGGUUCUAGGAUCCCUCUUUCCAGUGCUAAAAGGGGUUUUUGAUCCAGUUGGCUUUGAAAAACAUACUUGGGGUCGAGUGGCUUUUACUUGUCUAGUUAAUUCAGUGAAGAUUGUUGACUUAGAUAAAGACUCUUACACGGUUCAAGGAUGUGUGCAUGCUUUGUUGAUUUGGUUGUAUGAAAGUGUUCCUGGCAUUGGAGAACUAUAUGGGCUGAGAAGGUCCACGAGUACUGGCAUUCCACUUCUUGAUUGGCAAUCAACCCGGAAAGGUAUCAAGAUUGAUGAAUUCAUAAAGAAUGAGAUGGCUAAACA
Molecule: non-coding RNA, 1169 nt
Organism: Camelina sativa (false flax)
Lineage: Eukaryota; Viridiplantae; Streptophyta; Magnoliopsida; Brassicales; Brassicaceae
Source: RefSeq, a predicted model, not a curated record